RNAcentral lists this long non-coding RNA (3290 nucleotides) under Chinchilla lanigera (long-tailed chinchilla). RNAcentral's name for it is "lncRNA (ENSCLAG00000026904.1)". Lineage: Eukaryota; Metazoa; Chordata; Mammalia; Rodentia; Chinchillidae. The record is from RNAcentral.
UCUGUCAUCUGGAUGUCCCUUAGAUCCAGCCAUGUGGUGUGGCUUCCUGGAAGCAGAUGCUCUUUCUGCUCUGAUCUGGGGCAUUAUGUGAUUGUUUAUGCAAAGUAUGUGAAGUCCUGUACUGACUGUACUUUAUUUUAUAUUUCUAGGCUGGCCAUCCAGACAGCGCCUCCCAAAGAGCUCUAGGCUUUUGGAGGGAUUAACCAUAGCUGCGGGGUGUUUAGAAGAACAUUAUCCAGUCCUUCAGGCUUAAAGGAGGCGAUGGUGACCCAGAACUCAGGAGAAGAGAGUCCCCAAGGGAGAAAUGCUGGCGGGAAGGACCUCAUUUAUGUGUGCUCAUAUAUCAAACAGGACUUGGAAUUUGAAAGAGAAAUAAAAAAUCCUCUAUGUUAAGAUAAAGAACUUCUGAAGCGUUAAAGCGUAAUAAAAAAUGAAAUUAAUGUGAAGUCAACUUGCCGGGCAAAAACUCUUAUCAGGAGAAUGAGCAGUGAAAUUCCCAGGAAAGAGCCACAGCCGAAAGCAGUCCAUGGCUUGCCAAAAAAGGAGAAUGGACACCAACACACAUACUGCAGCAAUCGCUGCCUGGGGGCUACUGUACAUACUAACACUGUGGACCAGGAUAGCGAUUCAGCGCAUCCAACUUUGAAGGUAAGAAGAAAGGAAAGUCAUCUUCUUAGAUUCCUCAAAGAUACAAGUACCCUUGUUAUCGACACUCGGUGGAUAGAUAUAAGGGCCCAGGAGCUUCUUAGAUCAAUCUGGGACAGAAUAUAUAUUUACCAUCUAACUCUGGGGACAUUCUCAAGAGUAUAAAGAUGUCAGAGCUAAAAAUGGACUCAUCAGCAGGUCUAAAUUUCACUUAGUAUUUCCUGAACAGCCAUGAAAGAAUCUUCGUCUUGCUCUUGCUCUUGCUGUAUGGAUUCUAUAUUCAGGAAAAAGGUAGGAAAUUGAAUGCUGUGAUUUUCAAAUUCUAGUAAGUACUUAGCAAAAUGGAAGCAGGUGUCAGGUUAGUGCUGAUAGGUAAAAGACAUGCUGAGGAUAUUAAGGAGAACAUCUUUGAAACAACUUAUUGUUUAUAUUCAUAGAGAAAAGGAGAGAUGUGGUUUUUAAGAAAUAUUAAGAUGGCGGACAUCCUUCACUUUGACAUUCUUCACUUUAACAUUCUCUAGGUAACCGUGCUGAAUGUCAGUUCAUUAGUAAUUAGAGUGUGGCAUUCCAAGAAUGUCAGGUGAGUGAUUCCACAGUUGGGUAGCUUUAUAUCUCUUCAUCUUUUAUCUUCUUUAUUAUUAUUAUUAUUUUAAAACAGUAUAAUUAGCUCUGUAGGGAGCCAUGUCAGAUGCCCAUGUGUAUAAUACAGAGAGAGAGAAUGCAUUCUAAAAAUUGAUUCUAUUGGUUUUUCUUAUAUUUACUUACCUCAGAUGACACUGGCUUGGAAUUUCACCGACCAUUUGAGAUGCCAAUAACAGUUUUACAAAGUAAAAUUGAAAUACAUGACUAGGUCAUGUCUUAUCAAAUCUUAUAUAGGAAAAUAUACCUGCAAAUCAAACCUUUACAUGCAAGAUAAAGCUAACCCUGAUGGCCUGUGUGGGUUAUCAACAACAACGGUGUUACUUUUGACUCAGUAGUAAGAAAUAGGUCAUUUUUUCUGUGAAUUUACAUUAGCUCCAAUAGCCAGUCUGACUGUGCUUAAUUACUUAGCUAUUAUUGUUUUGCCUGGCCUACCUGCUAUAAUCACUGUCAUACCUGAAGGGCUGUAAGGUACUUUGAUAAUGCCAGACAGAAAAUCUAUCUGAAAAAAAGGAGUAUCUUUCUAGAUCACUUCAGCCAUGGCCUCAUCAACAGUAAAAAUAAACAACUUUUCUCUUCUCUGACAAGAAACCACUGACAAGAAAUUUAUUUGUAAUGAAUUGCACCUGUGCAAGUUUGGCCACUGGCAAAUCUCAGGGGAAAGUUUUCCUGUAGCAAAGUAACAGCUUAUCAUUCAGAAUUUUUCUACAUGAAAGAACAGAAGCAUAGAGAAUGAAAAAGUAACUCCACUUCUAAUAUUUGCAAUGCAAAUUAUGUUUACUUAUAAAUAGUACACAUGAAUGGAAGUAAAUACAGUGCCAAAUUGUUAUUGAAAAUAUAAAUGUUGUCCCACAUAAAAUUACAAUUCUAUGGACUAAAAAACAAUGUAAAUUUCUGUGUGGUCCUGCCACACAGAAUUUCUGUGGUCCUAAGUAAUCCUUAGCAGCUUAGUUAUAACUGAAAACCUGUAGCACCAAGAGGGAUAAUUGUUUUAGAAGUACAGAUAUGAGACUCCAAUUCCAAUCCACCUCCAGGUGACACUUCCUGCACGACUGAAGAAAGGGGAGAAGCCAUGUGUGGUGACACAUACAUGUGAUACAGCACUCUGGGAGGAUGAGGCAGGAGGAUUGCGAAUGUGAGCCUAGCCUGGGCAAGUUAGUGACUUAGCAAGACCCUAUCACUAAAUAAAAAGUAAAAAAAGACUGGAGAUACAGCUCAGUGUAAAUGCCUUAGGUUCAAUCCGCAGUGUUGCAAAAACAGUAAUGACUACCACAACAAAAACCAUGAAAAGCAAAGAAACAAAAACAGCAAAACAACACAGAGCAGAAAGUCAAUUUCAUUUAAAACCACCAGUUGCAUAAGAGAAGCCACAUUGCUUUGUUCACUAUUGCAUCUACAGCAUUCAGAAAAGACUGAUGCAGAACAGGUACCCAAUAAAUAUUAGCUGAGAUGAUAUAAUCUUCCAAAUAGCAUUUGAAGUGAGUAUAAAGUAACUCUGUUUUGCAAAUGAGACAAUCAUUUAACCCAAGGUCACAAAACUACUACAUCUACAAGGAGGACUCAAAACCAGUUCUGUUUUGUAUCUGCUUCCAAACCCAAGCUCUUUUUUCUGCAUCUGAAUCAUAUUUUAGAAAGAUAGCAGAGUUGAAUAAUCUUUGAAUCAAUAAUACUUUGGUAGUACAUGAUUGAAGAUCACACACAUUGUUUCCCAACAGAUCACAACUAUUUUUCAGCUGGGCCUCAAAUAAACAUUCUUUACAGUAAAAAACAAAAUGUACUGUUAUUUCCUGCACCAUAUUAUGAUCUAAAUAAGAAUAAGCAAUAAUGUCAGCAGACAUAACACCUAGUGGUAUAAUGACAGUUACAGAGAGCUGGAAGCAGACUCAGGAAUGAUUUACUGUAUCCCCUCAAAUAUAAAGACUAUUUAAAAUUUAUAGUAUUCUCUGGUAGACAGAGAUCCACGUUGGCUAAACAAAGGGGAGAAAGUCUGGCCAACACCAGGGGCU